This 411-nucleotide long non-coding RNA is filed under the name Anser brachyrhynchus (Pink-footed goose). Its description in RNAcentral is "lncRNA (ENSABRG00000014501.1)". Lineage: Eukaryota; Metazoa; Chordata; Aves; Anseriformes; Anatidae. The record is from RNAcentral.
UGUACCGAGAAGCUUGUGUCCAGGCUGUAUUUGAGAAUGCACGUGGCUACAAGGGGGGAGAGGCACUGUCACAUAGGUGUUCAGCAAGCACAGGCAGCUGAAAGCUGAAGAACGGACAUUAUCAUAAGAUGGGGUCAAAAUGGUCCUUGAAGAAAAAUAAGGAGAGACGGUUUUGUAGGCUGGAGGGUACUGCUGGAGGAGAACCAUUUAAAAUUUUCCACAGUAUCACAAGGACAGGAAGUUUAAAGCUUUUCCUGAUGAGAGUGAGGUGGAAGAAGCAGUGGCUUGGAAACAUCUGUUUUCACAGAGGGCAGAGGAAAAAAAAAAGCAUUGUGUAUGAAGAAUUGUCUUGAGAAGGAAGGGAUGGAGGAGAAGAGGUAAUAAAAAAAUGAGCAAAUUUCUAGUAUUUCA